RNAcentral lists this ribosomal RNA (231 nucleotides) under uncultured bacterium. RNAcentral describes it as "partial 16S ribosomal RNA". It matches the Rfam family "Bacterial small subunit ribosomal RNA", at positions 28 to 257 of the family's 1533-position model. The record is from RNAcentral.
GACGAACGCUGGCGGCGUGCUUAACACAUGCAAGUCGAGCGGUAAGGGCCCUUUCGGGGGUACACGAGCGGCGAACGGGUGAGUAACACGUGGGUGACCUGCCCUCAGCUCUGGGGAUAAGCCUGGGAAACCGGGGUCUAAUACUGGAUAUGACUCCAUGACGCAUGUUGUGGGGUGGAAAGCCUUGUGCGGCUGAGGAUGGGCCCGCGGCCUAUCAGCUUGUUGGUGGGG